Molecule: long non-coding RNA, 523 nt
Filed under: Monodelphis domestica (gray short-tailed opossum)
Lineage: Eukaryota; Metazoa; Chordata; Mammalia; Didelphimorphia; Didelphidae
Description: lncRNA (ENSMODG00000042442.1)
Source: RNAcentral
GGCCACAGCGAGAAGGAGGAGGAGAAGGAGGAGGAGGAGGAGGAGUGGGCUUCGGGACUCCCCUAAGGGUCACCUUUCCUAAUGAUAUGGUUAUUGUGAGCGCAUGCACACGACACAGCCCACUCCCUGCACUGAGCCUUGGCCAGAGUCACGCAGGAAAAGACGCAAACUAAGGUAGCAGCCCAGGCCGUUCUGCUAGUUACUGCCGGUGGAACCUCGAGAGCCUUCAGUGUGCGUGGACUUUGCUUGGAAAACGAAAGAUUGGGCAGGGACGAGACAAAGACAGUUUGCUUCCCUGAGAAGGGAGCAGGCCCCUAGGGAAGAGAGAGCUGCCCAGUUAGGAAAUCAGAUUCUUGUUACUUUGAAAGAGAGAGUGAGGCUGACAACUUUGUGCAAUUCUGCCUCACUUGACAUCACUGGUGAUAACAUUUUGGUCUUCUUCUUGAGUACAAAGCACAACCACCAACCAGUUAAGACAAAUGCUUCCAGUGGAUGAGCAAUAAUGUUGACUGAACGAUGACUG